Molecule: long non-coding RNA, 1541 nt
Organism: Monopterus albus (swamp eel)
Lineage: Eukaryota; Metazoa; Chordata; Actinopteri; Synbranchiformes; Synbranchidae
Exons: 3
Source: RefSeq, a predicted model, not a curated record
UUUUACACCAGCUGAGAGAUGACGAGGUGAUAGAAAAGACCUCACCCUACCUGACCUCCAGUUUCACCACUCUGAGUGCCUCAUUUAUUUUAUUCCACGGUGGACUGUGGAUGCACAAUCUGGUUGCAACGGGACAGCGCUGACGUACCAACACACUACAGGCUCCACACAAAUCAAACCAAGCCACACAAAUAAAGAAGCCUGACUGGAUCUCACAACCUCAAGGAUACAGACAGAAGACACAGAGGACAGAGGAGGUGCAGGAGGAGAUCCACACUUCUCUGCCUUCAGUGACUGAUAUAUAAGAGAAAAACCUUUAGAGCCCAGUUGAACAAAUGGAGCUUCAGGCACAGAGCUUCCUCUUUAUCUCCUGUGUGGCUCCCUCUAGUGAAAACACGCUGAGGCAACAGGAGACAAACCAUCAUCAUCAUCUGAGCAUGGACAUUCAUACUGCACUUAUAGAACCAGUAUGUGUGACAAAAUAAUCAAACGACAAACCAAAACUGAACACAGCAUCAACUGUGAGAGGUCAGAGGUCACGCUGGGAGUCAGGGGUGGCUGGAGAACGAUCGUUGUCCUGAACAGACAGAAGACACCGUCUCCCCCCGCCAGAAACUUCUUAUCAUGUAAACAAGUUCCAUACUUCAGUGACAUGACGACCCCUGAGGCUGAAAAAAAAACAUGAUGCAGCUCAUAUCUCAGAAAAACUAAUAAGUGGACCUUUGAGUUUAGAUUUCCAGAAACACAUGAAAGUGGUAUAAGAAAGACAUGAAAACAUAUGAACCAAUCCUUUAAGGCCAUUGUGAAGACAUGGCUGAAGAUGAGUGUCGGUCCGAUGCUGUCAGACGGUGACUACGGAGGAUAUUUUAACUCCUCAUGUAGUUUGCUUGGGCAUGUUAAGUGAUGGUUGUGCUACUAUAUGAUGCCAGCAGAGUCGACUUUAGUCUUCAGUGGUCAAACCAACCAACAUUUAAAGAAGAAGCGCACCGGAGGUCAAAUGUGAACAGAAGGGAAAUAAACAAAAGCUGACUUCCAGAUCACAACAUGGGUUGUGAUUAUUUCAUUAGAAAAAGCCCAGUGUGACUACCACCUCCAGGCCGCCAUUUUAACCCACCUCCUCCUCGCAGGAUUAGACCAUCCGUCUUCAUCCAGCUGCAGCUGCUGCCCCAGACAGACCGACUAAGUCAGAGAGCUGUGUGGGGAGGCAGAGAGCAGGUCGUCCUUGUUUUGUCCUCUGCUACAGGACGGGGCGUCUAAUCAGCUCUGCAGGGAAGAUGCUGGGAUAACUGGCAGGAAACCAGAUGAAAUGACCAGUUAAGGAGCGAGUCCUCCACUCCAGCUGCCAAGGACAAGAUUACCCAGCAGGCAGCAGCACUGCUGCUUUUGUUUAGAGUUUUCGGCACAGGGGGACCUGUCUUUUCAGGCUGUGGCUCCUAGACUGUGCGUUGCGUUUCCCCUGUCACUGCGUAUGGCCGAAUCUGUUGGUGGUUUUAAGAAGCAGCUGAAGACACAUUUGUUUAGUCAGGCUUGUAGUUGAUCUG